Molecule: ribosomal RNA, 388 nt
Filed under: uncultured bacterium
Lineage: Bacteria
Description: bacterial SSU rRNA
Rfam family: Bacterial small subunit ribosomal RNA
Source: RNAcentral
AGUGAACGCUGGCGGCAGGCCUAACACAUGCAAGUCGAGCGGCAGCGGGUUCCCGCGAGGGGAUGCCGGCGAGCGGCGGACGGGUGAGGAACACAUCGGAAUCUGCCUGGUUGUGGGGGAUAACGUAGGGAAACUUACGCUAAUACCGCAUGAGACCCUGAGUCGACGGACUGGGGGUGAAAGUGAGGGACCUUCGGGCCUCACGCGACCAGAUGAGCCGAUGUCGGAUUAGCUAGUUGGCGGGGUAACGGCCCGCCAAGGCGACGAUCCGUAGCUGGUCUGAGAGGAUGAUCAGCCACACUGGGACUGAGACACGGCCCAGACUCCUACGGGAGCAGCAGUGGGAAUCUUGGACAAUGGGCGCAAGCCUGAUCCAGCCAUGCCGCGU